UUGACCUCGGAUCAGGUAGGGAUACCCGCUGAACUUAAGCAUAUCAAUAAGCGGAGGAAAAGAAACCAACAGGGAUUGCCCUAGUAACGGCGAGUGAAGCGGCAACAGCUCAAAUUUGAAAUCUGGCUCUUUUAGAGUCCGAGUUGUAAUUUGCAGAGGGCGCUUUGGCGUUGGCAGCGGUCCAAGUUCCUUGGAACAGGACGUCACAGAGGGUGAGAAUCCCGUACGUGGUCGCUAACCUUCGCCGUGUAAAGCCCCUUCGACGAGUCGAGUUGUUUGGGAAUGCAGCUCUAAAUGGGAGGUAAAUUUCUUCUAAAGCUAAAUACUGGCCAGAGACCGAUAGCGCACAAGUAGAGUGAUCGAAAGAUGAAAAGCACUUUGGAAAGAGAGUCAAAUAGCACGUGAAAUUGUUGAAAGGGAAGCGCUUGCAGCCAGACUUGCCUGUAGUUGCUCAUCCGGGCUUUUGCCCGGUGCACUCUUCUGCGGGCAGGCCAGCAUCAGUUUGGGCGGUUGGAUAAAGGUCUCUGUCAUGUACCUCUCUUCGGGGAGGCCUUAUAGGGGAGACGUCAUGCAACCAGCCUGGACUGAGGUCCGCGCAUCUGCUAGGAUGCUGGCGUAAUGGCUGUAAGCGGCCCGUCUUGAAACACGGACCAAGGAGUCUAACAUCUAUGCGAGUGUUUGGGUGUCAAGCCCGAGCGCGUAAUGAAAGUGAACGGAGGUGGGAACCCUUUAGGGUGCACCAUCGACCGAUCCUGAUGUCUUCGGAUGGAUUUGA
RNAcentral lists this ribosomal RNA (775 nucleotides) under Phoma herbarum. RNAcentral's name for it is "eukaryotic LSU rRNA". It matches the Rfam family "Eukaryotic large subunit ribosomal RNA", at positions 1 to 793 of the family's 3401-position model. Lineage: Eukaryota; Fungi; Ascomycota; Dothideomycetes; Pleosporales; Didymellaceae. The record is from RNAcentral.